RNAcentral lists this ribosomal RNA (253 nucleotides) under uncultured bacterium. Its description in RNAcentral is "partial 16S ribosomal RNA". It matches the Rfam family "Bacterial small subunit ribosomal RNA", at positions 524 to 776 of the family's 1533-position model. The record is from RNAcentral.
UACGUAGGGUGCAAGCGUUGUCCGGAAUUAUUGGGCGUAAAGAGCUCGUAGGCGGUCUGUUGCGUCGGCUGUGAAAACCCGGGGCUCAACCCCGGGCCUGCAGCCGAUACGGGCAGACUAGAGUUCGGCAGGGGAGACUGGAAUUCCGGGUGUAGCGGUGGAAUGCGUAGAGAUCCGGAAGAACACCGGUGGCGAAGGCGGCCUGCUGGGCAGUAGCUGACGCUGAAGCGCGACAGCGUGGGGAGCAAACAGG